Molecule: ribosomal RNA, 447 nt
Filed under: uncultured bacterium
Lineage: Bacteria
Description: bacterial SSU rRNA
Rfam family: Bacterial small subunit ribosomal RNA
Source: RNAcentral
CCCAGACUCCUACGGGAGGCAGCAGUGGGGAAUAUUGCACAAUGGGGGGAACCCUGAUGCAGCGACGCCGCGUGGGUGAAGGAGUACUUCGGUACGUAAAGCCCUAUCAGCAGGAAAGAAAAUGACGGUACCUGACUAAGAAGCCCCGGCUAACUACGUGCCAGCAGCCGCGGUAAUACGUAGGGGGCAAGCGUUAUCCGGAUUUACUGGGUGUAAAGGGAGCGUAGACGGCAGUGCAAGUCCGGAGUGAAAGCCCGGGGCUCAACCCUGGGACUGCUCUGGAAACUGUAAAGCUGGAGUGCGGGAGGGGCAGGCGGAAUUCCUGGUGUAGCGGUGAAAUGCGUAGAUAUCAGGAGGAACACCGGCGGCGAAGGCGGCCUGCUGGACCGUAACUGACGUUGAGGCUCGAAAGCGUGGGGAGCAAACAGGAUUAGAUACCCUAGUACU